This 422-nucleotide ribosomal RNA is filed under the name uncultured bacterium. RNAcentral's name for it is "bacterial SSU rRNA". It matches the Rfam family "Bacterial small subunit ribosomal RNA", at positions 358 to 772 of the family's 1533-position model. The record is from RNAcentral.
GGAAUCUUGCGCAAUGGGCGAAAGCCUGACGCAGCAACGCCGCGUGUGUGAUGAAGGCCUUCGGGUUGUAAAGCACUGUCAGGAGGGAAGAAAUGCUUUGGGCUAAUACCCUGGGGCUAUGACGGUACCUCCGAAGGAAGCACCGGCUAACCCCGUGCCAGCAGCCGCGGCAAUACGGGGGGUGCGAGCGUUGUUCGGAAUCCUUGGGCGUAAAGCGCGUGUAGGUGGGCAGGCAAGUCAGGUGUGAAAGCCCAGAGCUCAACUCUGGAACUGCGCUUGAAACUGCUUGUCUUGAGUACGGGAGAGGGAAGCGGAAUUCUUGGUGUAGGGGUGAAAUCCGUAGAUAUCAGGAGGAACACCGACGGCGAAGGCAGCUUCCUGGACCGAUACUGACGCUGAGACGCGAAAGCGUGGGGAGCAAA